This 24-nucleotide non-coding RNA is filed under the name Cricetulus griseus (Chinese hamster). The record is from RNAcentral. Lineage: Eukaryota; Metazoa; Chordata; Mammalia; Rodentia; Cricetidae.
UGUAAGAAGUAGGAAGGGAUGGUG